AUCACACUCUCCUAAACUUUUUAUUCGAUGGAAGUUGCAGGAGAGGGUGAAAAAGUUUAUCGAAUUGAAAGCAAGAUUGUGGAAGUUCAAAAAAAAAAAUUGUUGAUAGGAUAAAAGAAAGUAGAGCUGUCAACCCCCAGAAAGUGGGUUGAGAUUGAAUCAGGGUCGGGUCAACCCUAUCUCUCAAAACAUUGAAAAGUUUACUCUAAAGCUCCCGUAGUCGCCAAGUUACUUUUCUUUUUCCGACUCUCACUCAUUCUCUCUGAUCAAACCCUUGAGCUAGCAACCGCAACAUAGGUCGACGGCAGACGGCAGUACAGAGUCGACGGCAGGCGACGGCGCAUGGUGGACGGAAACACACAGUGAACGACGACACAAAGUAGAGUCAACGACACUUCACGGCAGCGGUGGUACAGGCGGCGAAGAAGAAUCAAGAUCUCUGAAGAACAAUGUAAUCAGACUAGUCUCUUUGGUUAAAAAUAGUCGAAGACUUGUGACUGUUGAUGAAAAUUUACCCAUGAAUCUUUACCUGGCUGCACCAUGAAAUUAGUACAAUGCCUUUGCCUUUAGCUAGCUUACCUCAAGAAGAAAUACAGCAGCAGAGCAGAAUAGGGUGGCUGCCAUUUUACAGGGCCACGCCUUUGACUUUGGCUUCAUCUGACUCAUGAAUAAUAAGGCUAAUGGAGUAAGAGAAAGGAUUCAAUCAAAAAAAGAGAAGAGGAGAACGAAUUCAGAAAGAGAGCCAGCAAUCUUCAAGAGCUCCAAGAGCCAAACAACACCAUCUUCACCGGCGCUUACAUAUAUUUCAACUACACGCAUGGCUUCUGAGUGUACCCAGAGGAAUGCUACCCUGCCAAUCUCCUUCUUCAAAGUCAUCCUUAAAACCAAUCUUCAAAGCGUUAAAAUACCAAAUUUAUUCACAGCCAAAUAUGGAGGUGGUUUGCCAAAUCCUUUGCUCAUGAAGCUUCCAAACGGAACUCAAUGGAAAGUGAUGUGGGAAAAAAACAAUGGUGAGAUUUGGUUGAAAGAGGGAUGGAAGGAAUUUGUGGAACAUUAUUCCUUGGAUCAUGGAUAUUUUGUUUUCUUUAAAUACGAAGGAACAUCUCGUAUUGAUGUAAACAUAUGUGACCAAAAUGGAGCGGAAAUAGACUAUCCUUGUGGCACUGGUAAUGGAAAUUACAACCUUGAUCAAAAUGAGGAAGAACCCGAUGAAGAAGAGAGGCCUGAACAAAUAGGAGGUAAGGUAAGAAGUCUGUUGAGAGAACUUCAUCUUUGAACCAGCCAAAUCAAACUAGGGCAAGAGAAAUAGCACGCAAUUUCAUUUCAUGCAAUCCCUUUUUCACUGUUGUCAUCAAACAUGCGGUGGCUUAUCGGCUGUACAUACCAGAUUUGGAAGGCAUUAUCGAAAAGAAAAAGUGUGUGGUGCUGCAGCGUGGAGAAAGAUCGUGGAAAGUAAAGUUGUUAUUUAAUAAAAAUUGUUUUUCUCGUUAUUGUUUCGGUGCUGGCAUUCACUUGUUUUUGACAGAAAAUGAAGUGAAAGAAGAAGAUGUUUGUAUAUUUGAAUUGAUUAGCAAGGAGGAUUGUAUUUUUAAAGUUCAUAUUUUCUAAAGAGACCACUAAUUUCUGCAUGAAAGCCGUGGUCUUACCGAGGAAUUUGAAGGAAAAUGUUGUAAAGAAACAAAGAUAUUGUAAUGGGAUGAUGUUCCAAGUAUUAGACAUUUAAACAGUGUUAAUGUUAUCUAA
This is an RNA transcript of Vigna radiata var. radiata (mung bean), 1743 nucleotides long. It is a transcript of the gene named B3 domain-containing protein At4g01580-like, with no coding region annotated. The transcript has 7 exons. NCBI's taxonomy places the organism in Eukaryota, Viridiplantae, Streptophyta, Magnoliopsida, Fabales, Fabaceae. The record is from RefSeq and is a predicted model, not a curated record.